CGAAGACUGAGCCCAGCCGCGCACUCGCACGCUCCCCUCGGCGCCUCCUCCGUGCGAUCCUAAUGAAAACUCCCAAGCGCAGGAAAACGAGGACCACGUGUCCACGGCCUGUUGACGGGAGCGGGGGACGCGGGCGUCUGGGCUUGGCCGCCAGGCACAGCUGCGUGGGCAGCGGCGCUCGCUAGCCCGGCCUGCCCCGUCCUGCGGCUUCUUUACACACGGUGGGUUCCAGUCUCUUCAAGUCAGGACUCUCCUCUUCCUGAGAGUCUGAUUCGAGUUCUGGGCCCUCACUUCUGAAACGUGCGGCGGACACUCACCUGCUGGAGCCCCGGGUCAAUCGGGUGCCGAGGUGGACCUCGAGCGUGCAGCCUUUGGGUGCUCGCCGGCUGGACUCGAACUCCGUGCUCUGACAUGAUGAAAUGGAGUGAGCUGCGAGGCGGCCUAUGAUCACAGCCAACCGUGAGAAUGCUGAUGUCUUCGUGCACUGCAUUCGCCACUUACAAACUCGGCCCUAGGGCCGGGGUUUAGUUCAGUGGUGCCGCCGCCUGCCCUGCAAGUGCAAGGACCGAGUUCGAUCUCCGGUACCAAAAAGAAAAAAAUAUCAUCACUGAGACUGCUGGGUGAUAUUGCGGCAGACAAUCCCUUUUGUGGGGACCACUCUGAAAUAUGGCCCUUCUGUUGCUUAAUCUAAAAUACCUUUUUUAUUCUUGUUUUGGUCGAGUGGUGUAUUUUGAAAAGUCCUGCAUGCCUAUUCUUUGCAGGGCAGGAAUUUUGGGUUGCAGGCUACAUAGAGGGCCCUUUGCAUUAUGUGACCUGAAACCACAUUUCUCCCCAAGUACUCUUUGGAACUUUCUCCUAAAAAUAACUCCAGAAAAAGGUCUUGUCAAAAGCCAUUAAAU
Molecule: long non-coding RNA, 899 nt
Filed under: Heterocephalus glaber (naked mole-rat)
Lineage: Eukaryota; Metazoa; Chordata; Mammalia; Rodentia; Bathyergidae
Description: lncRNA (ENSHGLG00000041836.1)
Source: RNAcentral